CUACGUGCCAGCAGCCGCGGUAAUACGUAGGGUGCGAGCGUUAAUCGGAAUUACUGGGCGUAAAGCGAGCGCAGACGGUUACUUAAGCAGGAUGUGAAAUCCCCGGGCUCAACCUGGGAACUGCGUUCUGAACUGGGUGACUAGAGUGUGUCAGAGGGAGGUAGAAUUCCACGUGUAGCAGUGAAAUGCGUAGAGAUGUGGAGGAAUACCGAUGGCGAAGGCAGCCUCCUGGGAUAACACUGACGUUCAUGCUCGAAAGCGCGGGUAGCAAACAGGAUUAGAUACCCUGGUAGUCCACGCCCUAAACGAUGUCAAUUAGCUGUUGGGCAACUUGAUUGCUUAGUAGCGUAGCUAACGCGUGAAAUUGACCGCCUGGGGAGUACGGUCGCAAGAUUAAAACUCAAAGGAAUUGACGGGGACCCGCACAAGCGGUGGAUGAUGUGGAUUAAUUCGAUGCAACGCGAAGAACCUUACCUGGUCUUGACAU
This 487-nucleotide ribosomal RNA is filed under the name uncultured bacterium. Its description in RNAcentral is "bacterial SSU rRNA". It matches the Rfam family "Bacterial small subunit ribosomal RNA", at positions 501 to 987 of the family's 1533-position model. The record is from RNAcentral.